UACGAAGGGUGCAAGCGUUGUUCGGAAUCAUUGGGCGUAAAGCGCGCGCAGGCGGAUUAGCAAGUCAGAUGUGAAAUCUCGGGGCUCAACCUCGAAACUGCGUCUGAAACUGUUAGUCUAGAGUGUCGGAGGGGGUAGGGGAAUUUCACGUGUAGGGGUAAAAUCCGUAGAGAUGUGAAGGAACACCGGGGGCGAAGGCGCCUACCUGGACGACUACUGACGCUGAGGCGCGAAAGCGUGGGGAGCAAACAGG
This 253-nucleotide ribosomal RNA is filed under the name uncultured bacterium. Its description in RNAcentral is "partial 16S ribosomal RNA". It matches the Rfam family "Bacterial small subunit ribosomal RNA", at positions 524 to 776 of the family's 1533-position model. The record is from RNAcentral.